Molecule: ribosomal RNA, 492 nt
Filed under: uncultured bacterium
Lineage: Bacteria
Description: partial 16S ribosomal RNA
Rfam family: Bacterial small subunit ribosomal RNA
Source: RNAcentral
AGUGAACGCUGGCGGUAGGCCUAACACAUGCCAGUCGAACGGCAGCACAGUAAGAGCUUGCUCUUACGGGUGGCGAGUGGCGGACGGGUGAGGAAUACAUCGGAAUCUACUUUUUCGUGGGGGAUAACGUAGGGAAACUUACGCUAAUACCGCAUACGACCUACGGGUGAAAGCAGGGGAUCUUCGGACCUUGCGCGAUUGAAUGAGCCGAUGUCGGAUUAGCUAGUUGGCGGGGUAAAGGCCCACCAAGGCGACGAUCCGUAGCUGGUCUGAGAGGAUGAUCAGCCACACUGGAACUGAGACACGGUCCAGACUCCUACGGGAGGCAGCAGUGGGGAAUAUUGGACAAUGGGCGCAAGCCUGAUUCAGCCAUACCGCGUGGGUGAAGAAGGCCUUCGGGUUGUAAAGCCCUUUUGUUGGGAAAGAAAAGCAGCAGGUUAAUACCCCGCUGUUCUGACGGUACCCAAAGAAUAAGCACCGGCUAACUUCGUG